Jaculus jaculus (lesser Egyptian jerboa) is the source of this 172-nucleotide small nuclear RNA. Its record names the gene U1. It matches the Rfam family "U1 spliceosomal RNA". Rfam says of the family: U1 is a small nuclear RNA (snRNA) component of the spliceosome (involved in pre-mRNA splicing). Its 5' end forms complementary base pairs with the 5' splice junction, thus defining the 5' donor site of an intron. NCBI's taxonomy places the organism in Eukaryota, Metazoa, Chordata, Mammalia, Rodentia, Dipodidae. The record is from Ensembl.
ACACUUACCUAGCAGGGGAGAUACCAUGAUCAGGAAUGUGGUUUUCCCAGGGCGAAGUUUAUCCAUCACACUCCAGAACUCCAGAUAUGCUGACCCAUGCAGUUUCCCCAAAUGAGGGAAACUUGACUGCAUAAUUUGUGGUAGUCGGGGACUGUGUUCAAGCUCUCCCCCA